This 604-nucleotide ribosomal RNA is filed under the name Marinobacter sp. Its description in RNAcentral is "bacterial SSU rRNA". It matches the Rfam family "Bacterial small subunit ribosomal RNA", at positions 42 to 638 of the family's 1533-position model. The record is from RNAcentral. Lineage: Bacteria; Pseudomonadati; Pseudomonadota; Gammaproteobacteria; Pseudomonadales; Marinobacteraceae.
GCGCGGCUUACACAUGCAGUCGAGCGGUAACAGGGGGUGCUUGCACCCCGCUGACGAGCGGCGGACGGGUGAGUAAUGCAUAGGAAUCUGCCCAGUAGUGGGGGAUAGCCCGGGGAAACCCGGAUUAAUACCGCAUACGCCCUUUGGGGGAAAGCAGGGGAUCUUCGGACCUUGCGCUAUUGGAUGAGCCUAUGUCGGAUUAGCUAGUUGGUGGGGUAAAGGCCUACCAAGGCGACGAUCCGUAGCUGGUCUGAGAGGAUGAUCAGCCACAUCGGGACUGAGACACGGCCCGAACUCCUACGGGAGGCAGCAGUGGGGAAUAUUGGACAAUGGGGGCAACCCUGAUCCAGCCAUGCCGCGUGUGUGAAGAAGGCUUUCGGGUUGUAAAGCACUUUCAGUGAGGAGGAAAACCUUCUGGUUAAUACCCAUGAGGCUUGACGUUACUCACAGAAGAAGCACCGGCUAACUCCGUGCCAGCAGCCGCGGUAAUACGGAGGGUGCAAGCGUUAAUCGGAAUUACUGGGCGUAAAGCGCGCGUAGGUGGUUUGAUAAGCGAGAUGUGAAAGCCCCGGGCUUAACCUGGGAACGGCAUUUCGAACUGUCA